RNAcentral lists this ribosomal RNA (427 nucleotides) under uncultured bacterium. Its description in RNAcentral is "bacterial SSU rRNA". It matches the Rfam family "Bacterial small subunit ribosomal RNA", at positions 354 to 796 of the family's 1533-position model. The record is from RNAcentral.
AGCGGGAAUAUUGCACAAUGGGCGAAAGCCUGAUGCAGCGAUGCCGUGUGAGGGAUGAAGGCCCUCGGGUUGUAAACCUCUGUGGAUGGGGACGAAGCUCUGACGGUACCCAUCUAGAAAGCUCCGGCUAACUCCGUGCCAGCAGCCGCGGUAAGACGGAGGGAGCAAGCGUUGUCCGGAUUUACUGGGCGUAAAGCGCGCGUAGGCGGCCUGCUCAGUCGGCUGUGAAAUCGCUGGGCCCAACUCAGCAACUGCAGUCGAUACUGGUAGGCUCGAGUCCGGGAGAGGGAAGCGGAAUUCCUGGUGUAGCGGUGGAAUGCGUAGAUAUCAGGAAGAACACCGGUGGCGAAGGCGGCUUCCUGGACCGGUACUGACGCUGAGGCGCGAAAGCUAGGGGAGCGAACGGGAUUAGAUACCCGAGUAGUCC